AUGAGAAAUUCUCAAAAUUUAUGGAAUACUCUGCCUGUUAGUGGCAGAAAACAAUACGAAGAUAAAAUCUCCACAACGCUCAAUAAGACAACCCAGUUCUUACGGUAUAAUACAACAGAAGUGUCAGGUAGCCAAUAUGAUGGCUUUUAUUUUAAACGCCAAAUCUAUAGUAAGAAUAAAACAAAUGACAAAAUAAAUUUACAUUUCCACGUAAGCCUUUCAAGAACAAUCAUGUAA
Molecule: non-coding RNA, 237 nt
Organism: Vicia faba (fava bean)
Lineage: Eukaryota; Viridiplantae; Streptophyta; Magnoliopsida; Fabales; Fabaceae
Source: the annotation of a GenBank genome assembly